GACGAACGCUGGCGGCGUGCUUAACACAUGCAAGUCGAGCGGUAAGGCCCUUUCGGGGGUACACGAGCGGCGAACGGGUGAGUAACACGUGGGUGACCUGCCUUCAGCUCUGGGAUAAGCCUGGGAAACUGGGUCUAAUACUGGAUAUUACUCUGCGGUGCAUGCCGUGGGGUGGAAAGCCUUGUGCGGCUGGGGAUGGGCCCGCGGCCUAUCAGCUUGUUGGUGGGGUGAUGGCCUACCAAGGCGACGACGGGUAGCCGGCCUGAGAGGGCGACCGGCCACACUGGGACUGAGACACGGCCCAGACUCCUACGGGAGGCAGCAGUGGGGAAUCUUGCGCAAUGGGCGAAAGCCUGACGCAGCGACGCCGCGUGAGGGAUGACGGCCU
This 388-nucleotide ribosomal RNA is filed under the name uncultured bacterium. Its description in RNAcentral is "bacterial SSU rRNA". It matches the Rfam family "Bacterial small subunit ribosomal RNA", at positions 28 to 417 of the family's 1533-position model. The record is from RNAcentral.